Adelges cooleyi (spruce gall adelgid) is the source of this 633-nucleotide long non-coding RNA. RefSeq lists it as uncharacterized. The transcript is spliced from 3 exons. The record is from RefSeq and is a predicted model, not a curated record. Lineage: Eukaryota; Metazoa; Arthropoda; Insecta; Hemiptera; Adelgidae.
CGCCUUAAACAAUAAUUUCAUGAUCUAUUUCCUCCACUCUUGAAAGUCAUAUAAUGCUCUUCCCUGUUCCUAUAAAAUGUAUUUACAACUUCCAACUUACACGCCUGCGCAGAAUCAAGUACACUCUCUCCCAUAUAAUGUGUCUCUCUCCAAAAUCAUAACCUCCGUGUACUCUUUCAUAGCCAGUCCAAUCACUCCUUAAAUGUUCAUUCAUAUCACCACCGGUCACAAUGUCCUCCUUUUCAGAAGAAGAUAUGGGUGUGUCGUUCUUUGUUGGACCAACGUUUAGUUACUGGCCAACACAUCUUCUACCUAGUAACUAAAGCCAGAAGCUUCCAAAAGCCAACACUAGAGGCAAUGGAAGGAGCUUUUAGAAAUAUUUAGUUGUUGACCUGGGCAUAUAGUAUUUGGCCUUGCCGAGAAUCGGCUGCAUUGACCAGAUAUGGAACACCUGGUCAGCAACGUAUUUAGCACAGCAGAAGGGUUAACCAUAAUUAUUUGCACACCUUCAAAUAAUCAUCAUCAAUACUUAAGCACUAAGCAAUAACAGUUGCAUUUGUCUAAAAACAUUUGACACUAACACUGUGAAAAAAAGCUGGCCUGAAUGAUUAAUACAAAUUUACUAUUACUUCC